Long non-coding RNA from Raphanus sativus (radish), 1243 nucleotides. RefSeq lists it as uncharacterized. Lineage: Eukaryota; Viridiplantae; Streptophyta; Magnoliopsida; Brassicales; Brassicaceae. The transcript is spliced from 3 exons. The record is from RefSeq and is a predicted model, not a curated record.
UUUUUUUUUGUAACACAAAAAAAACUGAGAUCUAAUGUUCAAUCAGUAUCUAUCUUUCUUUCUUUCUUUCUUUCUUGACAACUUCUAGCAUUAUCUAGCCAAACUAAAGAAAACUGGCUAACACAUUAUUUGUUAUUUUACACUUAUAAAUUGAUUAGUAUUGAUUUUUUUUUGGUUUCACAGCUAGGGAAUCACGUUGGCUUGGAGGCAUUACAUACAGCUGCAGUUAUUGUUCUUGACUGGAAUAUUGGGGCUUGCUUGUAUGGGUUUAAGCUUCUUCAAAACCGUGUUCUGGCACUUUUUGUGGCUGGCACUUCUCGACUUUUCCUAACAUGCUUUGGCAUACACUACUGGUACCUAGGGCAUUGCAUUAGUUACAUUUGCAUCGGUUCUAACUUCUAUCAGGUGCUGUUGUUUCCCGUCAUCUAUUGAUAACAGACCCAUCAGCUUCAAGAAGAGAUGCCUUGCAGAGCACAGUGAUCCGCGUGAGAGAAGGUUUUCGGAGAAAAGAGCAGAAUAGUUCAUCAGAUGGUUGUGGCUCAAGUAUUAAAAGAAGUAGUAGUAUCGAUGCAGGCCAUGCUGCUUAUACUAACGAAGCUAACCGUAGCACAGAGUGCACGGCUGACGAUCUAACUCGAAUAGGGCGCAGCAGCUCUCAGGAGGGUAUUAAUAGUGACAAAAGUGUAGAAAGUGGAAGACGACCUAGCUUAGGUUUACGUAGUAGCUCAUGUCGUUCUGUGAUCCAAGAGGCUGAAGCAGGAACGUCUUAUGAUGAGAAUAACAAUAUGGUUGUUUGUUCAAGCAGUGGGUGGUCUUGAGAGCCAAGGUUAUGAGUCUAGCACAUCGGUCGAACUCUGCAAACCAGCAGAUCUUGGAUUUGAAUUUGGCUCUAGCUUUUCAGGAACAGUUAAAAGAUCCUAGGAUAGCCUCGAUGCUUAAGGAGAAAGCAAAAGAAUGUGAUGUUGAAGGAGAAAAAUUUGGAUCCAAGAAUAUUGGCGUUACUUGAAAGGAGUAGUUUAGAUGCAGAUAGAGAUCACAGAGACAACACUGAUGUUACAAUCAUUGACUCAAACAGUGUUGACAAUACUCUUCCAAAUCAGAUUUCUCUAUCUGAAGAAUUGAGGCUCCGGGGGCUCGAAGAGUGGCUUAAGCUGUCUAGAGUUGUUCAGUCUUGUCUUUAUUCUUGAAACAAUCAUUGUGGCCAUUUUUCGUCCGAAGACCAUAACGAUUAUACAUUCCAUUC